UUGACCUCAAAUCGGGUGAGAAUACCCGCUGAACUUAAGCAUAUCAUA
RNAcentral lists this ribosomal RNA (48 nucleotides) under Russula rubra. RNAcentral's name for it is "partial 28S ribosomal RNA". Lineage: Eukaryota; Fungi; Basidiomycota; Agaricomycetes; Russulales; Russulaceae. The record is from RNAcentral.